Long non-coding RNA from Biomphalaria glabrata, 3417 nucleotides. RefSeq lists it as uncharacterized. The transcript has 11 exons. The record is from RefSeq and is a predicted model, not a curated record. Lineage: Eukaryota; Metazoa; Mollusca; Gastropoda; Planorbidae.
UCAAGUUUCCAUAUUUAAUCAGCUUAACAAGUGCACAUUCUCUGCUGCCAACAGUACCAAUUUGUCAUCCAAGCAACAAAUAUUCCUUAGUAGUCUGCUAUCAGAUGACAGUUAUCUCUUUGGCAUUUUUAUGAAUUAAAGCUUUCAAAGCCAAACUUCAGAUUUGCUUAGCAUAUUCCUGUACUACAUAUCAACAAAUGUUUGAUGGUUUGUCUGGUUCAUCUCUUAACACUAUGAAGAUGGCUACACUAAUCUUAACAAGCAAACAUUCUGUUGCCAACAGUACCAAUUUGUCAUCCUAUCCAAGCAACUACUAUUCCUUGGUAAUCUGCUAUCAGAUGAUUACAGUUUUCUCUUUGGCAUUUGUAUGAAUUAAAGCUUUCAAAGCCAAACCUUAGAUUUGGUUAGCAUAACCCUGAACUGCAUAUCAACAAAUGUCUAAUGGUCUGUCUGGUUCAUUUCUCAAGACUAUGAAGAUGGCUACACAGGUAUCAGCUCUCAGCAGUGCACCCCUAUGAUACACAAGUCUUCAUUGCCAAGUCACUCUGCCAAACAGUGUGUACACCUUUCUUGCAUUGGUAGUGACCCAAACAGUGUGUACACCUUUCUUGCAUUGGUAGUGACCCACUUUAUGUCAUGAGUCUGGAUAUGUCAGGCCAAGGAGAUCAAGUUUGUGUCCAAGGUUACUUAGUUAAUUCUCUAAGAACAAUAGACAGACUCUACAUGCUACUGAUCUGGAGGUUAGUGGCUCAAUCAUUGUGCACUGAUUCUUCACUGAUGCCUUAAUUCCCCACUGUCAACUUUAUUGUCAUAAAGUUUAUCUAGUGAUCUACAUAUCAAGACUAAAUGGUCAAUUAAACAUGAGGUCAAGGAAAAAGGAUGAACAUUUCAAGGCUACUGAAGGAACAUUAAACGUCUCUCUCACUGUGAAAAGAUUCUACCGAUCUACAAAUGAUCAACAUGUUUUAUCUUAAGUUCGUCUGCCAUUUCUUCAAAUGGAGCCAUAUUAAGAAUAAGGUUCAAAUGUAUCAGUUGUUUUUGUUGACAGAUAUCAAGUCAUUUCAGUUCUCAAUUAUUUUGUGCACCAAGUUACAAGAAAAAAUUUAAGCAAGAGAGGUCACUACACUAAGACUUUGUCUUCUCAUAAGAAAGGAUGGCUGCCUGGUCAUGUGAUAUGUGCACUGGACUGUGUAUGGUCAUCUUGAUGCUCAUAUCUUGCCUGAUGACAUUUAUUCUGCUGAACAUUUGGUCAAGGAAGUAGAUUCUCUUCAGCUCUCAAGAAACAUUCAAAACAUGUCUAACAUUCGACAAGAAUAUCAAGUGCAAUGUACAUACCAACAUGAUGAAAAGGUAGACAACAUGAAGAUGUAGACCAACAUGAUGAAGAUGUAGACCAACAUGAAGAGGUAGACCAGCAUGAUGAAGAUGUAGACCAACAUGAUGAAGAUGUAGACCAACAUGAAGAUGAAAUGUAAACCAAAAAAUGGGUCAAGAGAUGUAUGGAAUACAAUGUGAACAUCUUGAGAAGUAAAACAAUUCCUAGAGGCAAAGACACAGACACACCGGAUCUAUUAGAGAUUUUCCUUUUCUACCAUCAUUUAGAGACUUCCUUGUGCUCUAAGGGAACCUGUCAUUAUCUUUUGAUUGCUAAUUGGCAUUGAUGUUUUUACAUUCCUACUGCGUCUGAAAGAAAUUAACAUUUCCCUAAUGCUACUUCAAAACCAGACCUUCUCAAGACAAUUUUAGUGACCAAGCUGCAAUAUGGGACUCAGUAGGAAACAAUGAAGAAUGCUCCUAACCUCAGGUUGAGUAACCAUGCUCACCUACUAGAGUGGCGACAAAUACUUCUACACCCACAGUUAUACAUCCUGAACCCUGUAACCCAACCUCACAACAUGGUUACAUUACCGGAAGUGGUCGCAAGGUCAGAAAACCUAACAGAUACAAUGGAUAGAACAAUGAACAGGUACAAGUACUCAAGUGAUGUACUUUGUGAGAACUAUUUAGGUGGAAUCACCAUAAUUGACUUGUAUAAAUCUUGUUCUAUAUUUAGGUAUAUCUUGACAAUCAGUCCAGUCAUUUGUUCAUUUUUUUUUUAAAUAUUCCUUUUUUUUCCCUCAAUCUUCUUGUUGUUUCAGUUACAUGUUUUUGUAUUUUGAAGGAGGAAGGUGCUUUGGUAUAUUAUCGUUAUUAUUAUUGUACCAGUAUUAAGCAAACUUGUAUAUCUUUAAUUAUUCAUGAAUUCUAAAGCAGAACGUCACUUCCACCGGAAAAUGUUGUAACAACUAUACGUGUCUUCAGUUAACAUUCAAUACUCUGUACAGUCACAACGCCAAAGCCUUGCUAGAUUAUGCUUUUAAUUCAAUUUGUUAUCUCCCCUGCUUUAGUGUGCUAUCAUAUAAUUUUUUGUGUCACAUCCCUGCACAAUUUGUUCUAUGCUUUUUUACAGUAUAAAUAGCGACUUGACAUUAUUUAGCUCUAUUAUAAUAUUGUUAUAUUAUUAUAUUUAAAAUAAAACUGUUAACAUAUUCUAUGCUGUUAUAAUAUAAAUGUUUUGCUGUUACCAUGAAUACAGUUUUGAGUUUUUGUCUGAUUUCUUAGAGGAGAAAUUUUUCAUAAAUAAUAAUAAUAAGGCUUAUCUUCAAGUCCGAAGAUUAGUGAGAAGUAUGCAGUAUUCCCCAGCUAGGACCUACAUAUUUUGCUAUAAAUAAAGAGUAUAAUAAUAUUUACUACUUGGUAUUGUCAGUCUUCACUAAAGCAAUGAGUUUAUCCCCUUAGUGUGUUUAAAAUUUUCAAAUACUAAUUCACUUUGUAUUAUCUAUUGGUGAUCAUGGGGUAUCCACUUUGUCAUCUCCAUAGUCUCUGGUGUUAACACUCAGUGUCCUGUUGGAGGUUACGGCUAAGAUGUUAUCUCUCUUUCUGAUGGAACACAUGUAAAACCAACAAAACAAACAUUAGACCUAGACUUUAUUAACAGGUAAAUUUUUAUAAUUGUGAACUGGCGCUCCCAAAGCUACUUUUAUGUAUUUUAAAUUUUACUUCUGUAGGCCAGUGCUAAGCUGUAUACUUGUAUUUCUGCCUAUUGUAUGGGUUAGGGUGGAGUACUUAAAAUAGAGCCUAUGCUGUUUCCUGUACUGUUGACCAGUGGUCUCUGUGUCAGUUUUAAUUAUUCUGUACCUGGGACUGCCUGUAAGUUUCAGAAUUUUUCUUUUAUUUUUUAAAAUUUUACUAUGUGUAAAUCUGUUUUAUAUUUGAACAACUGUCAAAAUAACUAGCAGUUUUUUUUCUUCUAAAGUUUGUUUUAAAACUAUGGCCAAGCCCUGCCCAGUGCUGUCAUGAUGGCCACUUCUAAUGUUUAUGUACUAGAUUGUAACUGCUGCCUUAGUCAUUGAAAUUAAAGUCUCAUUUUUGAAUUUC